RNAcentral lists this ribosomal RNA (253 nucleotides) under uncultured bacterium. RNAcentral's name for it is "partial 16S ribosomal RNA". It matches the Rfam family "Bacterial small subunit ribosomal RNA", at positions 524 to 776 of the family's 1533-position model. The record is from RNAcentral.
UACGGAGGUGGCAAGCGUUGCUCGGAAUCACUGGGCGUAAAGGGCGCGUAGGCGGGGGGGUAAGUCGGGUGUGAAAUCCCUCGGCCCAACCGAGGAACUGCGCCCGAGACUGCUUCUCUUGAGUCCCGGAGAGGAAGAUGGAAUUCCCGGUGUAGCGGUGAAAUGUGUAGAGAUCGGGAGGAACACCGGUGGCGAAGGCGGUCUUCUGGACGGUGACUGACGCUGAGGCGCGAAAGCGUGGGGAGCAAACGGG